Oncorhynchus keta (chum salmon) is the source of this 733-nucleotide long non-coding RNA. RefSeq lists it as uncharacterized. NCBI's taxonomy places the organism in Eukaryota, Metazoa, Chordata, Actinopteri, Salmoniformes, Salmonidae. The transcript has 3 exons. The record is from RefSeq and is a predicted model, not a curated record.
AUAUACAGGGGGUACCGGUACAGAGUUAAUGUGGAGGCUAUAUACAGGGGGUACCGGUACAGAGUCAAUGUGGAGGCUAUAUACAGGGGGUACCGGUACAGAGUCAAUGUGGAGGCUAUGUACAGGGGGUACCGGUACAGAGUCAAUGUGGAGGCUAUAUACAGGGGGUACCGGUACAGAGUCAACGUGGAGGCUAUAUACAGGGGGUACCGGUACAGAGUCAAUGUGGAGGCUAUAUACAGGGGGUACCGGUACAGAGUCAAUGUGGAGGCUAUAUACAGGGGGUACCGGUACAGAGUCAACGUGGAGGCUAUAUACAGGGGGUACCGGUACAGAGUCAAUGUGGAGGCUAUAUACAGGGGGUACCGGUACAGAGUCAAUGUGGAGGCUAUAUACAGGGGGUACCGGUACAGAGUCAACGUGGAGGCUAUAUACAGGGGGUACCGGUACAGAGUCAAUGUGGAGGCUAUAUACAGGGGGUACCGGUACAGAGUCAAUGUGGAGGCUAUAUACAGGGGGUACCGGUACAGAGUUAAUGUGGAGGCUAUGUACAGGGGGUACCGGUACAGAGUCAAUGUGGAGGCUAUGUACAGGGGGUACCGGUACAGAGUCAAUGUGGAGGCUAUAUACAGGGGGUACCGGUACAGAGUCAAUGUGGAGGCUAUGUACAGGGGGUACCGGUACAGAGUCAAUGUGGAGGCUAUAUACAGGGGGUACCGGUACAGAGUCAAUG